CCGUAUCAGUUUGUUAUGACAAAUUUUAGCCUGAUAUCAUGUCAUGAAUGUUCGGAGAAGGUUCAGAUUUUUGUAGAAGCUGGGAGCACUGUGAUAGCUCGGGCUGGAUCAAGGUAUUUGCAGAAGGAACGAAGCUCAUAGUAAUACCUUCUGACAAAAGCCUUGAUGAGGACCUUUCUCCCAAGCCCACCAUUUUUCUUCCUUCUAUUGCUGAAACAAAUCUCCAUAAGGCUGGGACAUAUCUUUGUCUCCUUGAAAAAUUCUUCCCAGACAUUAUAAGGGUAUACUGGAAAGAAAAGGAUGGCGACAAGAUCCUGGAAUCCCGGGAAGGGAAUACACUGAAAACUAAUUACACGUACAUGAAACUUAGCUGGCUUACUGUGGCGGAAAAGUCAAUGCACAAAGAGCACAGAUGUAUUGUCAAACAUGAGAACAACAAAAAAGGAAUUGACCAAGAGAUUUCCUUUCCUCCAAUAAAAAAAGUUGCCAUGAGUACUGAACUUACAACUUGCUGGCAUGAAAAUGAAGUUUUCAAAACUGAGCAACAUCUGUAUAACUGAGCACACCUCUCUCCUGAUUCCAUCCUCUUCGAUAGUCUCCUCCCCCAGGAGCCUGAAGCAUCACAGCUCUGGUAAGGAUAGCUUGCAGCUUUUACCCGUUGUCCUUAUUGGCCUUGAACCAGCUAAUUCCCUGAAAGCCUCCACUUUAGACAUCCUGAAGAGCCUUCUUUACUGCUUGGAUUUUUGUCUUGUAUUUCACAUUCGAGAAAAUAAAUUUUCUAAAAAAUCA
Non-coding RNA from Mesocricetus auratus (golden hamster), 789 nucleotides. The record is from the annotation of a RefSeq genome assembly. Lineage: Eukaryota; Metazoa; Chordata; Mammalia; Rodentia; Cricetidae.